UGGGGAAUAUUGGACAAUGGGCGAAAGCCUGAUCCAGCCAUGCCGCGUGAGUGACGAAGGCCUUAGGGUUGUAAAACUCUUUCGUCGGGGACGAUAAUGACGGUACCCGAAGAAGAAGCUCCGGCUAACUCCGUGCCAGCAGCCGCGGUAAUACGAAGGGAGCUAGCGUUGUUCGGAAUCACUGGGCGUAAAGCGCACGUAGGCGGAUAGUUAAGUCAGGGGUGAAAUCCUGGGGCUCAACCCCAGAACUGCCUUUGAUACUGGCUGUCUCGAGGUCGAGAGAGGUUGGUGGAAUUCCUAGUGUAGAGGUGAAAUUCGUAGAUAUUAGGAAGAACACCAGUGGCGAAGGCGGCCAACUGGCUCGAUACUGACGCUGAGGUGCGAAAGCGUGGGGAGCAAACAGGAUUAGAUACCCAUGUAGUCCCUGAGCGGGCUGGCAAGGCGCAU
Molecule: ribosomal RNA, 447 nt
Filed under: uncultured bacterium
Lineage: Bacteria
Description: bacterial SSU rRNA
Rfam family: Bacterial small subunit ribosomal RNA
Source: RNAcentral